Molecule: small RNA, 255 nt
Filed under: Colobus angolensis palliatus
Lineage: Eukaryota; Metazoa; Chordata; Mammalia; Primates; Cercopithecidae
Description: 7SK RNA (ENSCANG00000011004.1)
Source: RNAcentral
GAAUGGACAAUGUAAGCAACCUGUCUCCUCAGCUGGUCUGGCCUGGUGGUUCCUUCCCUCCCUCCUUGAGCUUCCCUUGGUCAGAGAGGUGGCCCUUCUACAUGAAGAAGGCUCGUUCUUGGACCCAGGGCAUGUGAGCCGCUGCACUUGCUUCUUUAUGAAUUUCCCAGUAAACUCAAGGUCCCUCCAUAAGAGAGGGAAGAAAUAGCCAAGCUUCCAAGAACAAGAGAUCAUAUUGUACAAAAAAGGCUCAUA